ACCUGGGUGACCAGACGCAACACUAGGCUAAAGGUCACCUGGGUGACCAGACGCAACACUAGGCUAAAGGUCACCUGGGUGACCAGACGCAACACUAGGCUAAAGGUCACCUGGGUGACCAGACGCAACACUAGGCUAAAGGUCACCUGGGUGACCAGACGCAACACUAGGCUAAAGGUCACCUGGGUGACCAGACGCAACACUAGGCUAAAGGUCACCUGGGUGACCAGACGCAACACUAGGCUAAAGGUCACCUGGGUGACCAGACGCAACACUAGGCUAAAGGUCACCUGGGUGACCAGACGCAACACUAGGCUAAAGGUCACCUGGGUGACCAGACGCAACACUAGGCUAAAGGUCACCUGGGUGACCAGACGCAACACUAGGCUAAAGGUCACCUGGGUGACCAGACGCAACACUAGGCUAAAGGUCACCUGGGUGACCAGACGCAACACUAGGCUAAAGGUCACCUGGGUGACCAGACGCAACACUAGGCUAAAGGUCACCUGGGUGACCAGACGCAACACUAGGCUAAAGGUCACCUGGGUGACCAGACGCAACACUAGGCUAAAGGUCACCUGGGUGACCAGACGCAACA
Molecule: long non-coding RNA, 598 nt
Organism: Oncorhynchus keta (chum salmon)
Lineage: Eukaryota; Metazoa; Chordata; Actinopteri; Salmoniformes; Salmonidae
Exons: 4
Source: RefSeq, a predicted model, not a curated record